This 459-nucleotide ribosomal RNA is filed under the name uncultured bacterium. Its description in RNAcentral is "partial 16S ribosomal RNA". It matches the Rfam family "Bacterial small subunit ribosomal RNA", at positions 338 to 795 of the family's 1533-position model. The record is from RNAcentral.
CCUACGGGUGGCAGCAGUGAGGAAUAUUGGUCAAUGGGCGCGAGCCUGAACCAGCCAAGUAGCGUGAGGGAAGACGGUCCUAUGGAUUGUAAACCUCUUUUGUCGGGGAGCAAAAGGCGCCACGCGUGGCGUUCCGAGAGUACCCUAUGAAAAAGCAUCGGCUAACUCCGUGCCAGCAGCCGCGGUAAUACGGAGGAUGCGAGCGUUAUCCGGAUUUAUUGGGUUUAAAGGGAGCGAAGGCGGAAGUGAAAGUCAGCGGUAAAAUUGUGAGGCUCGACCUAUUCAAGCCGUUGAAACUGGUAGCCUUGAGUGCGUGAGAGGGAUGCGGAAUGCGUGGUGUAGCGGUGAAAUGCAUAGAUAUCACGAAGAACUCCGAUUGCGAAGGCAGCAUACCGGCGCUCAACUGACGCUGAUGCACGAAAGUGUGGGUAUCGAACAGGAUUAGAUACCCUUGUAGUC